AACAGAUAAGGAGCUUGCUCCUUUGACGUUAGCGGCGGACGGGUGAGUAACACGUGGGUAACCUACCUAUAAGACUGGGACAACUUCGGGAAACCGGAGCUAAUACCGGAUAAUAUGUUGAACCGCAUGGUUCAAUAGUGAAAGAUGGUUUUGCUAUCACUUAUAGAUGGACCCGCGCCGUAUUAGCUAGUUGGUGAGGUAACGGCUCACCAAGGCAACGAUACGUAGCCGACCUGAGAGGGUGAUCGGCCACACUGGAACUGAGACACGGUCCAGACUCCUACGGGAGGCAGCAGUAGGGAAUCUUCCGCAAUGGGCGAAAGCCUGACGGAGCAACGCCGCGUGAGUGAUGAAGGUCUUAGGAUCGUAAAACUCUGUUAUUAGGGAAGAACAAACGUGUAAGUAACUGUGCACGUCUUGACGGUACCUAAUCAGAAAGCCACGGCUAACUACGUGCCAGCAGCCGCGGUAAUACGUAGGUGGCAAGCGUUAUCCGGAAUUAUUGGGCGUAAAGCGCGCGUAGGCGGUUUUUUAAGUCUGAUGUGAAAGCCCACGGCUCAACCGUGGAGGGUCAUUGGAAACUGGAAAACUUGAGUGCAGAAGAGGAAAGUGGAAUUCCAUGUGUAGCGGUGAAAUGCGCAGAGAUAUGGAGGAACACCAGUGGCGAAGGCGACUUUCUGGUCUGUAACUGACGCUGAUGUGCGAAAGCGUGGGGAUCAAACAGGAUUAGAUACCCUGGUAGUCCACGCCGUAAACGAUGAGUGCUAAGUGUUAGGGGGUUUCCGCCCCUUAGUGCUGCAGCUAACGCAUUAAGCACUCCGCCUGGGGAGUACGACCGCAAGGUUG
Molecule: ribosomal RNA, 846 nt
Filed under: uncultured Staphylococcus sp.
Lineage: Bacteria; Bacillati; Bacillota; Bacilli; Caryophanales; Staphylococcaceae
Description: bacterial SSU rRNA
Rfam family: Bacterial small subunit ribosomal RNA
Source: RNAcentral